AUGGUUGAGGCAAAAAAGCAUGAACAAUAUGAUAUUGUUUACAAGCUUCUUAAGUUAUUUUUUUUGUGGGUGUACAAGCUUCUGAAGUUGGUUCUAAUUCUUCCAGUAGCCACUGCUAGUGUUGAAAGGUUAUUCUCCUCAAUGAACUAUGUGAAGAAUCAAUUAAGGAACAAAAUGGGUGAUGAAUAUUUGAACAUUUGCAUGGUUACAUUUGUUGAGAGAGAAUUCUUCAACAAAGUGAAAGACGAAGAUAUCAUCAAUCUCUUCCAGAAAGUGGAUCGCACAGUUAUAUUGUAA
Molecule: ribosomal RNA, 297 nt
Filed under: Triticum aestivum (bread wheat)
Lineage: Eukaryota; Viridiplantae; Streptophyta; Magnoliopsida; Poales; Poaceae
Description: partial small subunit ribosomal RNA
Source: RNAcentral